Molecule: small nucleolar RNA, 100 nt
Organism: Vulpes vulpes (red fox)
Lineage: Eukaryota; Metazoa; Chordata; Mammalia; Carnivora; Canidae
Source: Ensembl
GAAGCAAAGGUAGUAUGCCACAGGAGGGGCAAGUCUUCCACUAACAUCACAAGAUCUCUGGCCCAAUGAGUGGAGUUUGAUAGUAAUUCUUGCUACUAAU